GUGCCAGCAGCCGCGGUAACACGUAAGUUGCGAGCGUUGUUCGGAAUUAUUGGGCGUAAAGGGCAUGUAGGCGGAUUUGCAAGCUUGAUGUGAAAUCCCGCAGCUUAACUGCGGAACUGCAUUGGGAACUGCAAGACUAGAGUUACUGAGGGGAAACUAGAAUUCCAAGUGUAGGGGUGAAAUCUGUAGAUAUUUGGAAGAAUACCAAUGGCGAAGGCAAGUUUCUGGCAGAUAACUGACGCUGAGGUGCGAAGGUGCGGGGAGCAAACAGGAUUAGAUACCCUGGUAGUCCGCACAGUAAACGAUGUACACUAGGUGUUUGACCAUGAGGUUGAGUGCCAUAGCUAACGCAAUAAGUGUACCGCCUGGGAAGUAUGCCCGCAAGGGUGAAACUCAAAGGAAUUGACGG
RNAcentral lists this ribosomal RNA (409 nucleotides) under uncultured bacterium. RNAcentral's name for it is "bacterial SSU rRNA". It matches the Rfam family "Bacterial small subunit ribosomal RNA", at positions 505 to 916 of the family's 1533-position model. The record is from RNAcentral.